GGACUACUCGGGUAUCUAAUCCGGUUUGCUCCCCCAGCUUUCGUCCCUCACUGUCGGAGCCGUUCUGGUGAGGCGCCUUCGCCACAGGUGGUCCCCCAAGGAUUACAGGAUUUCACUCCUACCCCUGAAGUACCCCUCACCUCUCCCGGUCCCUAGAUCGCCAGUAUCCCUUGGACGCCUAUCGGUUAAGCCGGUAGAUUUCCCAAGAGACUUAACGACCCAGCUACGAACGCUUUAAGCCCAGUAAUAGUGGCCACCACUCGAGCCGCCGGUAUUACCGCGGCGGCUGGCACCGGUCUUGCCCGGCCCUUUCUUCGCCUGCUUUUUAAACAGACGGACAGUCCGCAUUUACGGACACUCGGAGUUCCCUUAUCACGGUUUCCCGCAUUGUAAAGUUUUCGCGCCUGCUGCACCCCGUAGG
RNAcentral lists this ribosomal RNA (421 nucleotides) under uncultured Methanomicrobiales archaeon. RNAcentral's name for it is "partial 16S ribosomal RNA". The record is from RNAcentral. Lineage: Archaea; Methanobacteriati; Methanobacteriota; Methanomicrobia; Methanomicrobiales.